ACUAAGCGUACACGGUGGAUGCCCUGGCAGUCAGAGGCGAUGAAGGGCGUGCUAAUCUGCGAUAAGCGCCGGUAAGGUGAUAUGAACCGUUAUAACCGGCGAUACCCGAAUGGGGAAACCCAGUGUGACUCGUCACACUAUCAUUAACUGAAUCCAUAGGUUAAUGAGGCGAACCGGGGGAACUGAAACAUCUAAGUACCCCGAGGAAAAGAAAUCAACCGAGAUUCCCCCAGUAGCGGCGAGCGAACGGGGAGGAGCCCAGAGCCUGAAUCAGCAUGUGUGUUAGUGGAAGCGUCUGGAAAGGCGCGCGAUACAGGGUGACAGCCCCGUACACAAAAGCGCAUGUGCUGUGAGCUCGAUGAGUAGGGCGGGACACGUGGUAUCCUGUCUGAAUAUGGGGGGACCAUCCUCCAAGGCUAAAUACUCCUGACUGACCGAUAGUGAACCAGUACCGUGAGGGAAAGGCGAAAAGAACCCCGGCGAGGGGAGUGAAAAAGAACCUGAAACCGUGUACGUACAAGCAGUGGGAGCCCCACCACCAAAGCGUUUCGCUUUGUGUGGUGCACAAAGAAGCGUAACGACAGCACUGAAUGACGGUUAACGGAGCGCAAGCGACGUUCAACAUACAAAGUCAAGCAGUGGAGCGCUUUGGGGUGGGGUGACUGCGUACCUUUUGUAUAAUGGGUCAGCGACUUAUAUUCUGUAGCAAGGUUAACCGAAUAGGGGAGCCGGAGGGAAACCGAGUCUUAAUUGGGCGUUAAGUUGCAGGGUAUAGACCCGAAACCCGGUGAUCUAGCCAUGGGCAGGUUGAAGGUUGGGUAACACUAACUGGAGGACCGAACCGACUAAUGUUGAAAAAUUAGCGGAUGACCUGUGGCUGGGGGUGAAAGGCCAAUCAAACCGGGAGAUAGCUGGUUCUCCCCGAAAGCUAUUUAGGUAGCGCCUCGUGAAUUCAUCUCCGGGGGUAGAGCACUGUUUCGGCUAGGGGGCCAUCCCGGCUUACCAACCCGAUGCAAACUGCGAAUACCGGAGAAUGUUAUCACGGGAGACACACGGCGGGUGCUAACGUCCGUCGUGAAGAGGGAAACAACCCAGACCGCCAGCUAAGGUCCCAAAGUCAUGGUUAAGUGGGAAACGAUGUGGGAAGGCCCAGACAGCCAGGAUGUUGGCUUAGAAGCAGCCAUCAUUUAAAGAAAGCGUAAUAGCUCACUGGUCGAGUCGGCCUGCGCGGAAGAUGUAACGGGGCUAAACCAUGCACCGAAGCUGCGGCAGCGACGCUUAUGCGUUGUUGGGUAGGGGAGCGUUCUGUAAGCCUGUGAAGGUGGCCUGUGAGGGUUGCUGGAGGUAUCAGAAGUGCGAAUGCUGACAUAAGUAACGAUAAAGCGGGUGAAAAGCCCGCUCGCCGGAAGACCAAGGGUUCCUGUCCAACGUUAAUCGGGGCAGGGUGAGUCGACCCCUAAGGCGAGGCCGAAAGGCGUAGUCGAUGGGAAACGGGUUAAUAUUCCCGUACUUGGUGUUACUGCGAAGGGGGGACGGAGAAGGCUAUGUUGGCCGGGCGACGGUUGUCCCGGUUUAAGCGUGUAGGUGUGUGUUCCAGGUAAAUCCGGUUCACUUUAACACUGAGGCGUGAUGACGAGGCACUACGGUGCUGAAGCAACAAAUGCCCUGCUUCCAGGAAAAGCCUCUAAGCAUCAGGUAACAUCAAAUCGUACCCCAAACCGACACAGGUGGUCAGGUAGAGAAUACCAAGGCGCUUGAGAGAACUCGGGUGAAGGAACUAGGCAAAAUGGUGCCGUAACUUCGGGAGAAGGCACGCUGACAUGUAGGUGAAGUGAUUUACUCAUGGAGCUGAAGUCAGUCGAAGAUACCAGCUGGCUGCAACUGUUUAUUAAAAACACAGCACUGUGCAAACACGAAAGUGGACGUAUACGGUGUGACGCCUGCCCGGUGCCGGAAGGUUAAUUGAUGGGGUCAGCGCAAGCGAAGCUCCUGAUCGAAGCCCCGGUAAACGGCGGCCGUAACUAUAACGGUCCUAAGGUAGCGAAAUUCCUUGUCGGGUAAGUUCCGACCUGCACGAAUGGCGUAAUGAUGGCCAGGCUGUCUCCACCCGAGACUCAGUGAAAUUGAACUCGCUGUGAAGAUGCAGUGUACCCGCGGCAAGACGGAAAGACCCCGUGAACCUUUACUAUAGCUUGACACUGAACAUUGAGCCUUGAUGUGUAGGAUAGGUGGGAGGCUUUGAAGUGUGGACGCCAGUCUGCAUGGAGCCGACCUUGAAAUACCACCCUUUAAUGUUUGAUGUUCUAACGUGGACCCGUGAUCCGGGUUGCGGACAGUGUCUGGUGGGUAGUUUGACUGGGGCGGUCUCCUCCUAAAGAGUAACGGAGGAGCACGAAGGUUGGCUAAUCCUGGUCGGACAUCAGGAGGUUAGUGCAAUGGCAUAAGCCAGCUUGACUGCGAGCGUGACGGCGCGAGCAGGUGCGAAAGCAGGUCAUAGUGAUCCGGUGGUUCUGAAUGGAAGGGCCAUCGCUCAACGGAUAAAAGGUACUCCGGGGAUAACAGGCUGAUACCGCCCAAGAGUUCAUAUCGACGGCGGUGUUUGGCACCUCGAUGUCGGCUCAUCACAUCCUGGGGCUGAAGUAGGUCCCAAGGGUAUGGCUGUUCGCCAUUUAAAGUGGUACGCGAGCUGGGUUUAGAACGUCGUGAGACAGUUCGGUCCCUAUCUGCCGUGGGCGCUGGAGAACUGAGGGGGGCUGCUCCUAGUACGAGAGGACCGGAGUGGACGCAUCACUGGUGUUCGGGUUGUCAUGCCAAUGGCACUGCCCGGUAGCUAAAUGCGGAAGAGAUAAGUGCUGAAAGCAUCUAAGUACGAAACUUGCCCCGAGAUGAGUUCUCCCUGAGACUUAGAGUCUCCUGAAGGAACGUUGAAGACGACGACGUUGAUAGGCCGGGUGUGUAAGCGCAGCGAUGCGUUGAGCUAACCGGUACUAAUGAACCGUGAGGCUUAACC
RNAcentral lists this ribosomal RNA (3010 nucleotides) under Salmonella enterica subsp. enterica serovar Weltevreden. Its description in RNAcentral is "bacterial LSU rRNA". It matches the Rfam family "Bacterial large subunit ribosomal RNA". Lineage: Bacteria; Pseudomonadati; Pseudomonadota; Gammaproteobacteria; Enterobacterales; Enterobacteriaceae. The record is from RNAcentral.